UANNAUGCAGUCGACGAUGAUGGGAGCUUGCUCCUGGAUUAGUGGCGAACGGGUGAGUAACACGUGAGUAACCUGCCCUUAACUCUGGGAUAAGCCUGGGAAACUGGGUCUAAUACCGGAUAUGACUCCUCAUCGCAUGGUGGGGGGUGGAAAGCUUUAUUGUGGUUUUGGAUGGACUCGCGGCCUAUCAGCUUGUUGGUGAGGUAAUGGCUUACCAAGGCGACGACGGGUAGCCGGCCUGAGAGGGUGACCGGCCACACUGGGACUGAGACACGGCCCAGACUCCUACGGGAGGCAGCAGUGGGGAAUAUUGCACAAUGGGCGGAAGCCUGAUGCAGCGACGCCGCGUGAGGGAUGACGGCCUUCGGGUUGUAAACCUCUUUCAGUAGGGAAGAAGCGAAAGUGACGGUACCUGCAGAAGAAGCGCCGGCUAACUACGUGCCAGCAGCCGCGGUAAUACGUAGGGCGCAAGCGUUAUCCGGAAUUAUUGGGCGUAAAGAGCUCGUAGGCGGUUUGUCGCGUCUGCCGUGAAAGUCCGGGGCUCAACUCCGGAUCUGCGGUGGGUACGGGCAGACUAGAGUGAUGUAGGGGAGACUGGAAUUCCUGGUGUAGCGNNAAAU
This 620-nucleotide ribosomal RNA is filed under the name Pseudarthrobacter oxydans. RNAcentral's name for it is "bacterial SSU rRNA". It matches the Rfam family "Bacterial small subunit ribosomal RNA", at positions 51 to 686 of the family's 1533-position model. Lineage: Bacteria; Bacillati; Actinomycetota; Actinomycetes; Micrococcales; Micrococcaceae. The record is from RNAcentral.